AGUGAACGCUGGCGGCAGGCCUAAUACAUGCAAGUCGAACGGCAGCACAGCAGAGCUUGCUCUGUGGGUGGCGAGUGGCGGACGGGUGAGGAAUACAUGGGAAUCUGCCCAGUCGUGGGGGAUAACGUAGGGAAACUUACGCUAAUACCGCAUGCGCCCUUCGGGGGAAAGCCGGGGACCUUCGGGCCUGGCGCGAUUGGAUGAGCCCAUGUCGGAUUAGCUAGUUGGCGGGGUAAAGGCCCACCAAGGCGACGAUCCGUAGCUGGUCUGAGAGGAUGAUCAGCCACACUGGAACUGAGACACGGUCCAGACUCCUACGGGAGGCAGCAGUAGGGAAUAUUGGACAAUGGGCGCAAGCCUGAUCCAGCCAUGCCGCGUGAGUGAAGAAGGCCCUCGGGUUGUAAAGCUCUUUUGUCCGGAAAGAAAAGCAUCCAGUUAAUACCUGGGUGUCCUGACGGUACCGGAAGAAUAAGCACCGGCUAACUUCGUGCCAGCCGCCGCGGUAA
RNAcentral lists this ribosomal RNA (506 nucleotides) under uncultured bacterium. RNAcentral's name for it is "partial 16S ribosomal RNA". It matches the Rfam family "Bacterial small subunit ribosomal RNA", at positions 29 to 523 of the family's 1533-position model. The record is from RNAcentral.